This is a long non-coding RNA of Fukomys damarensis (Damara mole-rat), 708 nucleotides long. RefSeq lists it as uncharacterized. The transcript is spliced from 3 exons. NCBI's taxonomy places the organism in Eukaryota, Metazoa, Chordata, Mammalia, Rodentia, Bathyergidae. The record is from RefSeq and is a predicted model, not a curated record.
GUCCGAACCGGAGCGAGCCUCAUCUGGCUGUCUGGAAUUACAGAUGUGCACCAUCAUGCCUAGUCAGGUGCACACGAGUCCAGUUUAUGCCUCUUGAACAAACUUCACCUCAGAGGGUGAGGCUCCUCGAGGGAGUCUUGUGCCUUCUGCCGAUCCCACCUGCCCUAUCACCCCAGUCACCCCAGCCAACCCAGCCUUGGCUGGACUGCAACUCCCCGUCCCUGUUGCCCCCAAGUCACUCUUGGAUCCUCUUUCUGUCCCAAGACCUCUCUAGCCCUUGUAAACCCUCUCACGCCCUCCACUGUCGCCCCUCUAGGGUGGAGCAGAGCAGCAGCUGCAGGGACCCCCUCACCUCUUCCUUGGCCCACACCCACCAGGCACUCAUCUGGCAGAGGCACAAGCCCCCAGCCGCUCUCCACUCGCUUCCACGCCCAGGCAUCGUCAGAACCUUUCCCAAAGGCCCUGAACCUGCUUCUGCCAAGUCAACCUGGAAAACCCUCAGGCCGGGUUUGACAGCCACAGCCAUGGCUGAAGAUGAAGAUGCUGGGCAAGAACUCCAGAGGCAGUGGCGGGAAGAUCGCUGAGAGGUGGAGGCCAGCCUGGACCACAGAGUGAGUUGGAGACCAGCCUGAACUACAUACCAAGUCCCUGACUAAAAAAAAAAAACAAAAAACAAACAAAAACCACAAAAAGAUACUCUGGCUACAU